Molecule: transfer RNA, 72 nt
Filed under: Candidatus Shikimatogenerans bostrichidophilus
Lineage: Bacteria; Pseudomonadati; Bacteroidota; Flavobacteriia; Flavobacteriales
Description: tRNA-Met
Rfam family: tRNA
About the family: Transfer RNA (tRNA) molecules are approximately 80 nucleotides in length.
Source: RNAcentral
UGCGGAGUAGAGCAGUGGUAGCUCGUCGGGCUCAUAACCCGAAGGUCAUAGGUUCAAAUCCUAUCUCCGCUA